GCGUCCUGGUCGGAUGCGGAACG
Molecule: small nuclear RNA, 23 nt
Filed under: Arabidopsis thaliana (thale cress)
Lineage: Eukaryota; Viridiplantae; Streptophyta; Magnoliopsida; Brassicales; Brassicaceae
Description: snRNA_16041
Source: RNAcentral